GAUUCUAAACAAUGAAAAAACCCUCCCUAUCGGUGGGACAAGAGUGAAAUUUAUCUGAGAUAUCAUUCCUAAUUAUUAAAAGCAGUACUGAAGAUUAAUGAGGAAAACGAAAGUGAAAAGAUAGCACUGCUGCAAGGGCUCUCAAAUGUUGAGCAAGCCAGUGUCACCAGAAAGCUGUCCAGAAGUUCCUGAGGAAUGGCAAAGUACCGGAAACAAACGUCAAAGCCAUAGAAAAGAC
Long non-coding RNA from Pipra filicauda (Wire-tailed manakin), 238 nucleotides. RefSeq lists it as uncharacterized. NCBI's taxonomy places the organism in Eukaryota, Metazoa, Chordata, Aves, Passeriformes, Pipridae. The record is from RefSeq and is a predicted model, not a curated record. The transcript has 3 exons.